Molecule: long non-coding RNA, 591 nt
Organism: Musa acuminata AAA Group (dessert banana)
Lineage: Eukaryota; Viridiplantae; Streptophyta; Magnoliopsida; Zingiberales; Musaceae
Exons: 2
Source: RefSeq, a predicted model, not a curated record
GCCAGCUUAUGUACUUUCUCUGUGUUGUGGCUGUCCUUUGGAUUCCCCCAAAUUGUUUCUGCCAUGGUCCAUGCUGCUAAAGGGUGUUGUAGGGUUGAACGCUUCACUUUGUCUAUGAUUUUGGCAUAUCCGAAGGACAGUUCAUCUUCUCCACAGAAGACAGCUGAGGAGCGUUCUUGUUAUUGAUUGAUCUUCCUUGAAAUGCCACCUGAUGCGGGAGGCUUCAUGUGGCAGCUUGAGUGCAACUUUCUAGGGCCUGUGUCAAACCAGCCCACCAGCUGCCCACAGCUUGGUGAGCUUAGCACCAAAAUAAAGAAGAUGAUGAUGAAGCAGAAGCACUCAGCCAGGUUUUCUUAAUCUUUUGGAAGGAGCAUGCAGAUACUAGGAAAGCUACCAAUCUCCACCAAGGUCCCAUGAACUAUAAAAGGUAGAAAUAUGGACAAGCUGUGAACUAAAUAAUUGGGAUCUACAUAUGUAACAUGUUCAAAGGCAAUAAAAAAAAAACAUGCACAAAGCUUGCUGAAAAAAACCUUUGAGCACUCACUCAGGUAAGAUCAAGACUAUCAAGGCACGCGCACAAACAAAAAAGAA